RNAcentral lists this ribosomal RNA (200 nucleotides) under uncultured bacterium. RNAcentral's name for it is "partial 16S ribosomal RNA". It matches the Rfam family "Bacterial small subunit ribosomal RNA", at positions 28 to 226 of the family's 1533-position model. The record is from RNAcentral.
GAUGAACGCUGGCGGCGUGCUUAACACAUGCAAGUCGAACGAUGAAGCCGGAGCUUGCUCUGGUGGACUAGUGGCGAACGGGUGAGUAACACGUGAGUAACCUGCCCUUGACUCUGGGAUAAGCGUUGGAAACGACGUCUAAUACCGGAUACGACGCGCGAAGGCAUCUUCUGCGCGUGGAAAGAAUUUCGGUCAAGGAU